This 336-nucleotide unclassified non-coding RNA is filed under the name soil metagenome. RNAcentral's name for it is "partial contains 5.8S ribosomal RNA, internal transcribed spacer 2, and large subunit ribosomal RNA". The stretch from base 1 to 120 matches the Rfam family "5.8S ribosomal RNA", at positions 35 to 154 of the family's 154-position model. The record is from RNAcentral.
GAUGAAGAACGCAGCGAAAUGCGAUAAGUAGUGUGAAUUGCAGAAUUCAGUGAAUCAUCGAAUCUUUGAACGCACAUUGCGCCCCAUGGUAUUCCGUGGGGCAUGCCUGUUCGAGCGUCAUUUACCCCCUCAAGCUCCGCUUGGUGUUGGGCGUCUGUCCCGCUUCGCGCGCGGACUCGCCCCAAAGGUAUUGGCAGCGGUCGUGCCAGCUUCUCGCGCAGCACAUUGCGCUUCUCGAGGCACCGGUGGGCCCGCGUCCAUCAAGCUCACCCCCCCAGUUUGACCUCGGAUCAGGUAGGGAUACCCGCUGAACUUAAGCAUAUCAUAAGCGGAGGA